GGGCGGUUAGCUCAGUUGGCUAGAGCGUCCCGACGUUACGUCGGGAAGGUCAGAGGUUCUCCGCCACAUUAAUAAAAAUUAUUUAGGCGGAUCCGCCUCUGGCGGAAAAUCCUCUACCGCCCA
Molecule: transfer RNA, 123 nt
Filed under: Candidatus Omnitrophota bacterium
Lineage: Bacteria; Pseudomonadati; Candidatus Omnitrophota
Also listed under: 1 other name
Description: tRNA-Asn
Source: RNAcentral